AUAAUCCUAUCCAGCUACACCGAACCAACAGAACACUGCGACAGAAAAUAAACAGUUUGAGUUGGUGUAUUUUGGAACUAUGAAGCUACUGGAUUAUGUGACAGGUGACGCAAUGAAAUCACCUGCAGAUGCUUCUUGAUUUGAUCAUCAUGUCUUCUGUUCUCUUCUUCCAAGGACAGGAUAUCACUCUGAGGGAGAAACGAAUUUCUGCAGUUGGGCAUUGAUGAGCGUCUCCAGCGCCGACCUUCUCGUCAUGAACUGAGCCGUCUCCACCUUGAGGUCCUCCUCCAACUCCGAAAUGCGGGUCUCGACAUGUAACCUGUAGCGCAACACAAACACACAGCUUAUAUCUCUAUAAACAUCUCUAUAUGUUUCCGAUCUGCCCUUUAACACUUGAAUUACCUCCGGUCGAAAAGGAGGGCAAGAUCCUGCUCCAGUUUCUCUGACAGGAUUUUCUGAUGGGCCAACUGUCUGUUGGACUCACUUUUGCACAGUGAGUCUUUCAUCUGUAGCAGGUGUUCAACUGCUUUACGGUAUUCUGUGUUCCUG
Molecule: long non-coding RNA, 549 nt
Organism: Gasterosteus aculeatus aculeatus (three-spined stickleback)
Lineage: Eukaryota; Metazoa; Chordata; Actinopteri; Perciformes; Gasterosteidae
Source: Ensembl